UACGUAGGGACCAAGCGUUGUUCGGAUUUACUGGGCGUAAAGGGCGCGUAGGCGGCGUGACAAGUCACUUGUGAAAUCUCCGGGCUUAACCCGGAACGGUCAAGUGAUACUGUCGUGCUAGAGUGCAGAAGGGGCAAUCGGAAUUCUUGGUGUAGCGGUGAAAUGCGUAGAUAUCAAGAGGAACACCUGAGGUGAAGACGGGUUGCUGGGCUGACACUGACGCUGACAGCGCGAAAGCUAGGGGAGCAAACGGG
Molecule: ribosomal RNA, 254 nt
Filed under: uncultured bacterium
Lineage: Bacteria
Description: partial 16S ribosomal RNA
Rfam family: Bacterial small subunit ribosomal RNA
Source: RNAcentral